UACGGAGGGUGCAAGCGUUAUCCGGAUUUACUGGGUUUAAAGGGUGCGUAGGCGGAUUUGUAAGUCCGAGGUGAAAUCUCCGAGCUUAACUCGGAAACUGCCUUGGAUACUAUAAGUCUUGAAUGACGUUGAGGUUAGCGGAAUAUGUCAUGUAGCGGUGAAAUGCUUAGAUAUGACAUAGACCAUCUAUUGCGAAGGCAGCUAACUAAGCGUAUAUUGACGCUGAUGCACGAACUCGUUGGCAUCAAACAGG
RNAcentral lists this ribosomal RNA (253 nucleotides) under uncultured bacterium. Its description in RNAcentral is "partial 16S ribosomal RNA". It matches the Rfam family "Bacterial small subunit ribosomal RNA", at positions 524 to 776 of the family's 1533-position model. The record is from RNAcentral.